RNAcentral lists this ribosomal RNA (1371 nucleotides) under Hyphomonas sp. Its description in RNAcentral is "bacterial SSU rRNA". It matches the Rfam family "Bacterial small subunit ribosomal RNA". Lineage: Bacteria; Pseudomonadati; Pseudomonadota; Alphaproteobacteria; Hyphomonadales; Hyphomonadaceae. The record is from RNAcentral.
CAACUUGAGAGUUUGAUUCUGGCUCAGAACGAACGCUGGCGGCAGGCCUAACACAUGCAAGUCGAACGACAUAGUGGCAGACGGGUGAGUAACGCGUGGGAACGUACCUUUCGCUACGGAAUAGCUCUUGGAAACGAGUGGUAAUACCGUAUACGCCCUUCGGGGGAAAGAUUUAUCGGCGAAAGAUCGGCCCGCGUUAGAUUAGUUUGUUGGUGGGGUAAUGGCCUACCAAGACUACGAUCUAUAGCUGGUCUGAGAGGAUGAUCAGCCACACUGGGACUGAGACACGGCCCAGACUCCUACGGGAGGCAGCAGUGGGGAAUCUUGCACAAUGGGCGAAAGCCUGAUGCAGCCAUGCCGCGUGAAUGAUGAAGGCCUUAGGGUUGUAAAAUUCUUUCGCUAGGGAUGAUAAUGACAGUACCUAGUAAAGAAGCCCCGGCUAACUUCGUGCCAGCAGCCGCGGUAAUACGAAGGGGGCUAGCGUUGUUCGGAAUUACUGGGCGUAAAGCGCACGUAGGCGGACUUUUAAGUCAGAUGUGAAAUCCCGGGGCUCAACCUCGGAACUGCAUUUGAAACUGGAAGUCUGGAGUUCAGGAGAGGUUAGCGGAAUACCGAGUGUAGAGGUGAAAUUCGUAGAUAUUCGGUGGAACACCAGUGGCGAAGGCGGCUAACUGGACUGAUACUGACGCUGAGGUGCGAAAGUGUGGGGAGCAAACAGGAUUAGAUACCCUGGUAGUCCACACCGUAAACGAUGACAGCUAGUUGUUGGCAGGCAUGCCUGUCGGUGACGCAGCUAACGCAUUAAGCUGUCCGCCUGGGGAGUACGGCCGCAAGGUUAAAACUCAAAGAAAUUGACGGGGGCCCGCACAAGCGGUGGAGCAUGUGGUUUAAUUCGAAGNAACGCGCAGAACCUUACCUACCCUUGACAUCCCGAUCGCGGUUUCCAGAGAUGGAUUCCUUCAGUUAGGCUGGAUCGGUGACAGGUGCUGCAUGGCUGUCGUCAGCUCGUGUCGUGAGAUGUUGGGUUAAGUCCCGCAACGAGCGCAACCCUCAUCCUUAGUUGCCAUCACGUUUGGGUGGGCACUCUAAGGAAACUGCCGGUGGCAAGCCGGAGGAAGGUGGGNAUGACGUCAAGUCCUCAUGGNCCUUACGGGUAGGGCUACACACGUGCUACAAUGGCAGUGACAAUGGGAUAAUCCCAAAAAGCUGUCUCAGUUCAGAUUGUCCUCUGCAACUCGAGGGCAUGAAGGUGGAAUCGCUAGUAAUCGUGGAUCAGCAUGCCACGGUGAAUACGUUCCCGGGCCUUGUACACNNNGCCCGUCANAUCAUGGGAAUUGGCUCUACNNGAAGACGCUGUGCUAACUUCGGAGG